GACGAACGCUGGCGGCGUGCUUAACACAUGCAAGUCGAACGGAAAGGCCCUGCUUUUGUGGGGUGCUCGAGUGGCGAACGGGUGAGUAACACGUGAGUAACCUGCCCUUGACUUUGGGAUAACUUCAGGAAACUGGGGCUAAUACCGGAUAGGAGCUCCUGCCGCAGGGUGGGGGUGGGAAAGUUUCGGCGGUUGGGGAUGGACUCGCGGCUUAUCAGCUUGUUGGUGGGGUAGUGGCUUACCAAGGCUUUGACGGGUAGCCGGCCUGGGAGGGUGACCGGCCACAUUGGGACUGAGAUACGGCCCAGACUCCUACGGGAGGCAGCGGUGGGGAAUAUUACACAGUGGGCGGGAGCCUGAUGCAACAACGCCGCGUGCGGGAUGACGGCCUUCGGGUUGUAAACCGCUUUCGCCUGUGACGAAGCGUGAGUGACGGUAAUGGGUAAAGAAGCACCGGCUAACUACGUG
Molecule: ribosomal RNA, 468 nt
Filed under: uncultured bacterium
Lineage: Bacteria
Description: partial 16S ribosomal RNA
Rfam family: Bacterial small subunit ribosomal RNA
Source: RNAcentral